GACAGAGGUGCCAAGCGUUAGGCGGAAUCACUGGGCUUAAAGCGUGUGUAGGUGGAUUUGUAAGUACCUUGUGAAAUCCCAUGGCUCAACCAUGGAACUGCUCGGUAUACUGCGAAUCUUGAGCCACUUAGGGGCUACCGGAACAAAUGGUGGAGCGGUGAAAUGCGUAGAUAUUCGCAAGAACACCAGUGGCGAAGGCGGCUCACUGGCCCGGUACUGACGCUGAGGUGCGAAAGCGUGGGGAGCAAACAGG
Molecule: ribosomal RNA, 253 nt
Filed under: uncultured bacterium
Lineage: Bacteria
Description: partial 16S ribosomal RNA
Rfam family: Bacterial small subunit ribosomal RNA
Source: RNAcentral